Molecule: ribosomal RNA, 223 nt
Filed under: uncultured bacterium
Lineage: Bacteria
Description: partial 16S ribosomal RNA
Rfam family: Bacterial small subunit ribosomal RNA
Source: RNAcentral
UACGUAGGGGUCGAGCGUUGUCCGGAGUUACUGGGCGUAAAGCGUGCGCGGCGGCUCUCGCGCUCGGCGUGAAAGCCCCCGGCUCCAACCGGGGAGGGUCGUCGAGGACGGGGUGAGCUUGAGGGUAUCGAGGGGUUGGUGGGAAGUUCCCGGUGUGAGUGGGUGAAAGUGCGUAGAGAUCGGGAGGAACACCCGUGGCGAAGGCGGCCAAGCUGGGAUACAC